AUUGAACGCUGGCGGCAGGCUUAACACAUGCAAGUCGAGCGGGGUGAUGGUGCUUGCACUAUCACUUAGCGGCGGACGGGUGAGUAAUGCUUAGGAAUCUGCCUAUUAGUGGGGGACAACAUCUCGAAAGGGAUGCUAAUACCGCAUACGUCCUACGGGAGAAAGCAGGGGAUCACUUGUGACCUUGCGCUAAUAGAUGAGCCUAAGUCGGAUUAGCUAGUUGGUGGGGUAAAGGCCUGCCAAGGCGACGAUCUGUAGCGGGUCUGAGAGGAUGCUCCGCCACACUGGGACUGAGACACGGCCCAGACUCCUACGGGAGGCAGCAGUGGGGAAUAUUGGACAAUGGGGGGAACCCUGAUCCAGCCAUGCCGCGUGUGUGAAGAAGGUCUUCGGAUUGUAAAGCACUUUAAGUCGGGAGGAAGGGCUGUAGGCUAAUACCUUGCAGUUUUGACGUUACCGACAGAAUAAGCACCGGCUAACUUCGUGCCAGCCGCCGCUGUAA
This 502-nucleotide ribosomal RNA is filed under the name uncultured bacterium. Its description in RNAcentral is "partial 16S ribosomal RNA". It matches the Rfam family "Bacterial small subunit ribosomal RNA", at positions 30 to 523 of the family's 1533-position model. The record is from RNAcentral.